Sorex araneus (European shrew) is the source of this 1192-nucleotide long non-coding RNA. RefSeq lists it as uncharacterized. The record is from RefSeq and is a predicted model, not a curated record. NCBI's taxonomy places the organism in Eukaryota, Metazoa, Chordata, Mammalia, Eulipotyphla, Soricidae. The transcript is spliced from 2 exons.
UUAAUGAUGAUACAGGACCUUGUCUGAAUAUACUGAUUUCAAAAUUUGAGCUUAAAAUAAUAUUCUGAAAUCCAGUCAAUGUGCCUCACUAAAUUUUUCAGAGAAUUUAAACUCAAGAGACAAUUUUGUCUGUGUAAAAAAAUCUUUGGGUAUUUAGAAUUGGCAGUGUAAUAUACUACACUUUGCAAAUUUUUUUAAUACCCUUUUAAAAAUUUUCAUGUAUGUUUUCUGAGCUAGUGAUUAUUUUUUCUUUUUCUUUUUUCCCAUAUGUGCAUAUCAUGUGUAUAUAUGUUGUCUAUGUGAUGUUUCUAUGUAUGUGAUGUGUGUAUAUAUUUAUGUGUAUGAUUUGUGUAUCUCUGUGAGUGUUGUUGCAAGCCAAGAAAGGAAAGUUCAUCCUUGGAUCCUAUAAGGCAUACAUGUGUGAUGAGAUGAAAGCAAGAUCAUGUAAAAAUGAGAAUGCAACUCUUUCAUCAAACACUAUAUGCUAAAACAUUGUCUCUAAAAGAUGUCCAAGAGGAGAAUACUUAUGGGACAUGCAUUCUUAAACAGGCUGGUAAGUGCCUUCACAUACUAUUUUGUGAAGUGUAGUACACACAAUCUUGGUGUUUGAGGAACAUUUCUGAGGAAAAUAUCUGGUUGUUACCUAAUUUAAUGCUGCUUAAAUAAUAUCUUUCCAUGUAUUGUAAUUUAGGAUGUUUUAAUGUAGGACAGAAAUUAAUAAUUUCUGAAUUUAUGCUGCUAAAAUAAUAUUUUCUGUCUUGUCAUUCAGAAAAUUUCAUUUUGGGAAAGAAAUUAAGACUCCAACAGAGGGGACUUUUCUAAGUUAACUUCCUUUGAUACAUUUAAUUAAUUGCAAAUGAAGUAGGGGAAGUUCAUAAGAAUCCAGGAAGUAAUGUAACAAUUAUUGUGAAUGAUUUGAAAUGAUUUGAAUGAUUUGAAAGAACAGUGCGAUGUUCUGGGGUUACUCCUGGCUCUGCACUCAGGAAUUACUCCUGGCUGUGCUUGGAGGACCACAUUGGAUGCUGGGGAUUGAACCCACGUUGGCCACAUGCAAGGCAAACACCCUACCCACUGUACUAUUGUUCCCGCCCCACCUGAGUCAUUUUUUUAACCUAUGAUCAUCACUGUAUAACUAAGAUGCUUAAAAAAAUACAAAUAUCUCAUUUGAAAAUAAAGUAUAGAAACAAUUGGA